This is a long non-coding RNA of Scleropages formosus (Asian bonytongue), 1947 nucleotides long. Lineage: Eukaryota; Metazoa; Chordata; Actinopteri; Osteoglossiformes; Osteoglossidae. The record is from Ensembl.
CUGGGCACCAGCAUGUCUGGAGCAGGAAACAUGACUCAUCGCGGGUCCCGUGUGGCUUCAGGUACCCGAGUUGCGGAACUGGGGACUUUGUGACCGCAGAUACUGGUCAACAGGAACUGUGAGUGAAGUCAGUGAGCAGAUGAUUCGUGCGAAUUUGCAGCGAACACGCAUGCGCUUCUCAUGAGUCCCAAGGAAGGAGCUCAGCAGAGAAGUCACUCGGAGCGCCUGACCCGUCUCGGCUGAGCCCAAACUUCCUACGUCAGUCUGUGGCCAGUAGCUUCUUGCUUGAACCUUCUGCUCGCUGCUGUGGACGCCAGUACGAUCCUCAUGAAGCCGCUGAUCCUGUGGGCUCUUGCCCUGCUGCACACAGGUUCGGGCCUCCUUGUGCCCGGAGGCGACGUGGCGUCGCACCCACAGCUCAUGCACUGCUCAUUCCAAGCGCAGCUAGAGGGCCUGCGCCGCAUCUGGUGCAAGAAGAGCAGCGAGCUGUGCUGCUCAGGCGUGGCCUUUAGCAGCGACACGCAGCAGCUGGAAGAGGGCGCCGUGAGCGUGCAGCAGGACCGCAGCACCUUCAACCUCACCAUCUGGCGCCUGGACCAAGGAGAAGGCACCUACUGGUGCGGCCUGCUGAACCUCAACAACACGGUCAUCAAGCUGGCCGAGAGCUACCUACGCUCGCCAGGUGAGCUGGAAGCGGAACUGUUACGAGGACGGCAGGGGCACGACGCUGCUCGUGCCGAUGACGAUGUCGAUGACAUUCGUCUUCACUGCCUGUCUCUUUCAGUACCCCCACAAGACCCAGGCAACCUGUGGAGCCUCCUUCGCUGGGUCCUGAUGCCACUGCUCCCCCUGGUGGCCGCCACCAUCCACUUGUGCUCCAGUCGCUGCGGUGCGUGUGCAGGUGCUCUCCUCUUCAUUCCUCUGAAAUACUGUCGUUCUCAUCUUGGAAGUCCUCCUCUGAAAUCUUUUAAUGCCUCUUCUGUCUUGCACAUCACAUUUUAGUGUCUCUAUUUUAAAAAAUGUACCCUUUUAUUUCCCUUAAAUCUCCAGGAAAACCCCAUGUGAACCAGGCAAGUUUAUACUUUUGUGUUUUAUUAAACUGUUACUUUGUAAAUACUGUUACCCCUUGAUUGUCAGGAACAUAAGAAAUGACUGUAUUUUAUUGACUGAAUGCAUUUAUUUUAUUUAGUCAUGAUGCCCUCAUAAAGAGCUUGUCCUUGCACAACAUCCCAAAUAUGCAUAUACUAAAUGAAACAAGUAAAGCACUAUAACACUUUUUAUUGCACAUCACAUUUCAUUAGCAGAAGGCUUAUUGGAAGAUAUCUAUAUAGAUAUAAAGAGAAAUUACAUUUGAAACAAAAGCAUGUGGCAGCAAGUUACCUAGCGGUUGGAGCCUUUGCCUUGUAACUGGAAGGUCCUCUUCCUGCGGUCGUGGCCUGAACUGAUAGCGUCAGAAUUACCCCGCUGUAACUGGGUAAAUCAGUGUGAGGAGCAAAGAGUGCAAACCGAGAAAUGGAGAAAAUAAGAGUGCGAAGAAAGAGCAAAAAUAAUGAAUAAUUAGACACAGUGACUCAAUGAUAUGAGGAUGUUUUGCAGAGAGGCGAGGAAAGCGUGUACGAGGUGGCUCAGUGUGGACAGCAGUGACACACUUGGACCGCUCUGCACACUGGAACAUAAACGACCUUCUUUUGUGAAAUAUCUUCUGGAAAACUGAACCCAGAUGGCAAAAGUCUUUGUUCGUGUAGAGUUUUACAACCAGCGAUAAGUAAAAUAUUAAAAAUGAGUGUCAUCAUUUUGUUUGUCCCCUCUAUUCCUCCUUUUCCCACAACACAGCAGUGUAAAGUACCUGCUCAGUGGUUUUACACUUUUACACAUAUUUUACAUAAGACCUUCUCCCUUUGAUUUGAUUAAGAUCCAUUUAAUAAAGGAGACAUUGGGGUGUUUUCA